AGCAAAACUUCGGUAUUGGAUUGCCACAUAUAAUGAAGAGUGCGAAAUUUUUACAAUAGAUGGCAAAGUAGUGAUAAAUUGACUGAAAUGAUAGUGAUAAAGCAGUAGCAGUGGAAGAGUAGUAUUCUGCCAACCAUGUAGAAAGCAAUUAGCUGUUGAGAGGAAGUCGCAACUUGAACAGCAUGUGAUGACAGGUACGUGGAACAUUAUUAUUAUUAGUUUAAUUCAUUCAUUCCCCAACUUAGGUAGGCUAAUUCCUUUUGCAAAAACAUACUAUAAAAAGGUAAUAUUCAACCGAAUUCUUGGUUUCGGUUUCGGCCAAUACUGGCCCAAAAUACGAGUUUCGGUUUUGGUGAAACGAGAACCAAAACUGAAAGUACAUGAGUGUCUAUUCUUGUUUUCGACGGUGCAUUUUUUAUAUUGCCG
This 426-nucleotide long non-coding RNA is filed under the name Androctonus crassicauda. Lineage: Eukaryota; Metazoa; Arthropoda; Arachnida; Scorpiones; Buthidae. The record is from RNAcentral.